This 318-nucleotide ribosomal RNA is filed under the name Triticum aestivum (bread wheat). RNAcentral describes it as "partial small subunit ribosomal RNA". Lineage: Eukaryota; Viridiplantae; Streptophyta; Magnoliopsida; Poales; Poaceae. The record is from RNAcentral.
AUGUUCGUACUUUCUGUAUGGAGCUGGGAGCGAUUGCCGGUUGGACGACCGAAGACUAUGAAGUACGAGGAUUGGGACGACAAAGAUGACCCACUACGGUUCCCCACUUGGGCUUACAAGUGGGAUGUGUUAAAUGAGACAACGGAUGAUCCCUCGAUCAUGUACAAGUUGUACACGAGCGAGAUGGACAUGAUUAUGGCGGAGCAGGUGACUCGACAUUGCAUAAGUGAUUCUCAUGCUUUUAUCGUAACUCGAAAUCAAUUUUGCAUUCUAUGCUAUGUUGCAGGUGGAAUGGGAGCCGUAUGGAAAAGGGGAUAG